Molecule: ribosomal RNA, 236 nt
Filed under: uncultured Candidatus Saccharibacteria bacterium
Lineage: Bacteria; Candidatus Saccharimonadota
Description: partial 16S ribosomal RNA
Rfam family: Bacterial small subunit ribosomal RNA
Source: RNAcentral
AAAGCGAAUAGUGAAAUCUGGGGGCUCAACCUCACAGGCUAUUAUUCGAACUCACUGACUCGAGAACAGCAGAGGUAACUGGAAUUUCUGAAGUAGGGGUAAUAUCCGUAGAUAUCAGAAGGAACACCAAUGGCGUAGGCAGUCUACUGGCUCAUUUCUGACACUAAGGCACGAAAGCGUGGGGAGCGAACGGGAUUAGAUACCCCGGUAGUCCACGCCGUAAACGAUGGAUGCUA